UACGUAGGCAGCGAGCGUUGUUCGGAAUCAUUGGGCGUAAAGCGCGUGUAGGCGGUUCGGUAAGUCCGCUGUGAAAGUCGGGGGCUCAACCCUCGGAUGCCGGUGGAUACUGUCGGACUAGAGUGCGGAAGAGGCGAGUGGAAUUCCUGGUGUAGCGGUGAAAUGCGCAGAUAUCAGGAGGAACACCGAUUGCGAAGGCAGCUCGCUGGGACGUUACUGACGCUGAGACGCGAAAGCGUGGGGAGCAAACAGG
Molecule: ribosomal RNA, 253 nt
Filed under: uncultured bacterium
Lineage: Bacteria
Description: partial 16S ribosomal RNA
Rfam family: Bacterial small subunit ribosomal RNA
Source: RNAcentral